Molecule: transfer RNA, 72 nt
Filed under: Cirrothauma murrayi
Lineage: Eukaryota; Metazoa; Mollusca; Cephalopoda; Octopoda; Cirroteuthidae
Description: tRNA-Phe
Source: RNAcentral
GUUUAAAUAGCUUAAAGUUUAUAGGAGAGCAUAAUGUUGAAGGCAUUGAAGUGAUAAAAUUAUCUUUAAAUA